Molecule: ribosomal RNA, 927 nt
Filed under: Cortinarius xenosmatoides
Lineage: Eukaryota; Fungi; Basidiomycota; Agaricomycetes; Agaricales; Cortinariaceae
Description: eukaryotic LSU rRNA
Rfam family: Eukaryotic large subunit ribosomal RNA
Source: RNAcentral
CAAUAAGCGGAGGAAAAGAAACUAACAAGGAUUCCCCUAGUAACUGCGAGUGAAGCGGGAAAAGCUCAAAUUUAAAAUCUGGCGGUCUUUGGCUGUCCGAGUUGUAAUCUAGAGAAGUGUUAUCCGUGCUGGACCGUGUACAAGUCUCCUGGAAUGGAGCGUCGUAGAGGGUGAGAAUCCCGUCUUUGACACGGACUGCCAGGACUUUGUGAUGCGCUCUCAAAGAGUCGAGUUGUUUGGGAAUGCAGCUCAAAAUGGGUGGUAAAUUCCAUCUAAAGCUAAAUAUUGGCGAGAGACCGAUAGCGAACAAGUACCGUGAGGGAAAGAUGAAAAGAACUUUGGAAAGAGAGUUAAACAGUACGUGAAAUUGCUGAAAGGGAAACGCUUGAAGUCAGUCGCGUUGUCCAGGGAUCAACCUUGCUUUUGCUUGGUGCACUUUCUGGUUGACGGGUCAGCAUCAAUUUUGACUAUUGGAAAAAGAUUAGGGGAAUGUGGCAUCUUCGGAUGUGUUAUAGCCCUUGGUUGCAUACAAUAAUUGGGAUUGAGGAACUCAGCACGCCGCAAGGCCGGGUUUUUAACCACGUACGUGCUUAGGAUGCUGGCAUAAUGGCUUUAAUCGACCCGUCUUGAAACACGGACCAAGGAGUCUAACAUGCCUGCGAGUGUUUGGGUGGAAAACUCGAGCGCGUAAUGAAAGUGAAAGUUGAGAUCCCUGUCGUGGGGAGCAUCGACGCCCGGACCAGACCUUUUGUGACGGUUCCGCGGUAGAGCAUGUAUGUUGGGACCCGAAAGAUGGUGAACUAUGCCUGAAUAGGGUGAAGCCAGAGGAAACUCUGGUGGAGGCUCGUAGCGAUUCUGACGUGCAAAUCGAUCGUCAAAUUUGGGUAUAGGGGCGAAAGACUAAUCGAACCAUCUAGUAGCUGGUCU